UGCUGAAUUAACAUUAAGGACAUCAAACUAUUAGAAUGUGUCCAGAGGAGGGUGACGAAGAUGGGGAAAGGUCUCGAGGGCAAGAUUUAGGAGGAGCGGCUGAGGUCACUUGGCUUGUUCAGCCUGCAGAAGAGAAGGCUGAGGGGGGACCUCAUUGCAGUCUACAGCUUCCCUAAGGGGGGCAGCGGAGGGGGAAGUGCUGAUCUCCUCUCUCUGGUGACCAGCAGUAGGACACGAGGAAAUGGAAUGAAGCUGC
This is a long non-coding RNA of Aquila chrysaetos chrysaetos, 256 nucleotides long. RefSeq lists it as uncharacterized. Lineage: Eukaryota; Metazoa; Chordata; Aves; Accipitriformes; Accipitridae. The transcript has 3 exons. The record is from RefSeq and is a predicted model, not a curated record.